RNAcentral lists this microRNA precursor (82 nucleotides) under Bombyx mori (domestic silkworm). Its description in RNAcentral is "mir-2807 microRNA precursor family". It matches the Rfam family "mir-2807 microRNA precursor family". Lineage: Eukaryota; Metazoa; Arthropoda; Insecta; Lepidoptera; Bombycidae. The record is from Rfam by way of RNAcentral.
UCAAAACUUGUAUGGAGUUGAAACAGCUUCCCCUCGUUUGCCGCUAGGGGCGCUGUUCCAACUCCAUACAAAGUAAGAGUUA